AUCUUUCUGCACGGACAGGAUCUAUGGUCUCUGAGGUUUAUACCGAGACGUAGACUUUUGCUUAUCGCAAACUAAACGAACCACAACGUCUGAUUCGUACUUUACGAUUCGGCAAUUUUUCUCUUUGCGAUGUUCUGCA
Molecule: small nuclear RNA, 139 nt
Filed under: Malassezia sympodialis ATCC 42132
Lineage: Eukaryota; Fungi; Basidiomycota; Malasseziomycetes; Malasseziales; Malasseziaceae
Description: U4 spliceosomal RNA
Rfam family: U4 spliceosomal RNA
About the family: U4 small nuclear RNA (U4 snRNA) is a component of the major U2-dependent spliceosome.
Source: Rfam by way of RNAcentral